RNAcentral lists this ribosomal RNA (253 nucleotides) under uncultured bacterium. RNAcentral's name for it is "partial 16S ribosomal RNA". It matches the Rfam family "Bacterial small subunit ribosomal RNA", at positions 524 to 776 of the family's 1533-position model. The record is from RNAcentral.
GACGUAGGGUGCAAGCGUUGUCCGGAUUUACUGGGCGUAAAGCGCGCGUAGGCGGCUCGUUAAGUGUGAAGUGAAAUCCCUGGGCUCAACUCAGGAACUGCUUUACAUACUGGCGAGCUUGAGGGAUGCAGAGGUCUGUGGAAUUCCUGGUGUAACGGUGAAAUGUGUUGAUAUCAGGAGGAACACCCAUGGCGAAGGCAGCAGACUGGGCAUCGCCUGACGCUGAGGUGCGAAAGCGUGGGGAGCAAACAGG